GAAAGGACAAGCUACGGAUAGCCAUAGUCUAUCAGUGAAAUUAUCAGCACAAUAUUCCCCCAGAAAAAAGAUCACAGCACAACAAAGAUUGUGUAUUUCCAAUCAAUAACAGUACAUCGCUCAAAUACCCCAAAAAUAAAAUUAAAAUCAAUUAAUCUACCAGUAAAGGAACUUACGAUGAUAUCUAUUCCACAGCUACCCAGCGGCAAAUUCUUCUUCAGUGAGGAAUGAAAUAGGCGAAUUAGGGCUCAACUGUUGAGAAAUUGCAAAACCAGUAAAAGAAGAGCAUGCGAAAUAAAUAAGAAAUUUAUGAGAAUCAAGCAAAAACCUUAAAUUAGGGAUCUGUGGAACUUGACGUGUUAGCCGAGCUUAAUCGAGAAAAAAACCUAAACGU
RNAcentral lists this long non-coding RNA (394 nucleotides) under Nicotiana tabacum (common tobacco). RNAcentral's name for it is "long non-coding RNA (NTAB_LNC007467)". Lineage: Eukaryota; Viridiplantae; Streptophyta; Magnoliopsida; Solanales; Solanaceae. The record is from RNAcentral.